GAACGCUGGCGGCGUGCCUAAUACAUGCAAGUCGAGCGAAUGACGAGGAGCUUGCUCCUCUGAUUUAGCGGCGGACGGGUGAGUAACACGUGGGUAACCUGCCUGUAAGACGGGGAUAACUUCGGGAAACCGAAGCUAAUACCGGAUAAUAAAGAGAAACUCCUGUUUCUUUUUUGAAAGUCGGUUUCGGCUGACGCUUACAGAUGGGCCCGCGGCGCAUUAGCUAGUUGGUGAGGUAACGGCUCACCAAGGCCACGAUGCGUAGCCGACCUGAGAGGGUGAUCGGCCACACUGGGACUGAGACACGGCCCAGACUCCUACGGGAGGCAGCAGUAGGGAAUCUUCGGCAAUGGACGAAAGUCUGACCGAGCAACGCCGCGUGAGCGAUGAAGGCCUUCGGGUCGUAAAGCUCUGUUGUCAGAGAAGAACAAGUACCGGAGUAACUGCCGGUACCUUGACGGUACCUGACCAGAAAGCCACGGCUAACUACGUGCCAGCAGCCGCGGUAAUACGUAGGUGGCAAGCGUUAUCCGGAAUUAUUGGGCGUAAAGCGCGCGCAGGCGGUUCCUUAAGUCUGAUGUGAAAGCCCACGGCUCAACCGUGGAGGGUCAUUGGAAACUGGGGAACUUGAGUGCAGGAGAGAAAAGUGGAAUUCCACGUGUAGCGGUGAAAUGCGUAGAGAUGUGGAGGAACACCAGUGGCGAAGGCGACUUUCUGGUCUGUAACUGACACUGAGGCGCGCGAAAGCGUGGGGAGCAAACAGGAUUAGA
This 770-nucleotide ribosomal RNA is filed under the name Fictibacillus rigui. RNAcentral describes it as "bacterial SSU rRNA". It matches the Rfam family "Bacterial small subunit ribosomal RNA", at positions 31 to 782 of the family's 1533-position model. The record is from RNAcentral. Lineage: Bacteria; Bacillati; Bacillota; Bacilli; Caryophanales; Fictibacillaceae.